AACGAACGCUGGCGGCAGGCUUAACACAUGCAAGUCGAACGCCCUCGCAAGGGGGAGUGGCAGACGGGUGAGUAACACGUGGGAACAUACCCUUCGGUUCGGAACAACGCCGGGAAACUGGCGCUAAUACCGGAUACGCCCUGGCCGUGAGGUCGGGGGAAAGGCUCGCUGCCGGAGGAUUGGCCCGCGUUCGAUUAGCUUGAUGGUGCGGGAACGGCCCACCAUGGCGACGAUCGAUAGCUGGUCUGAGAGGAUGGCCAGCCACAUUGGGACUGAGACACGGCCCAAACUCCUACGGGAGGCAGCAGUGGGGAAUAUUGGACAAUGGGCGCAAGCCUGAUCCAGCCAUGCCGCGUGAGUGAUGACGGCCUUAGGGUUGUAAAGCUCUUUCGCACGCGACGAUAAUGACGGUAGCGUGAGAAGAAGCCCCGGCUAACUUCGUGCCAGCCGCCGCCGUAAAAC
RNAcentral lists this ribosomal RNA (462 nucleotides) under uncultured bacterium. RNAcentral describes it as "bacterial SSU rRNA". It matches the Rfam family "Bacterial small subunit ribosomal RNA", at positions 29 to 526 of the family's 1533-position model. The record is from RNAcentral.